This 87-nucleotide transfer RNA is filed under the name Gemmataceae bacterium. Its description in RNAcentral is "tRNA-Ser". It matches the Rfam family "tRNA". Rfam says of the family: Transfer RNA (tRNA) molecules are approximately 80 nucleotides in length. Their secondary structure includes four short double-helical elements and three loops (D, anti-codon, and T loops). The record is from RNAcentral. Lineage: Bacteria; Pseudomonadati; Planctomycetota; Planctomycetia; Gemmatales; Gemmataceae.
GGAGAGGUGGCAGAGUGGCCGAAUGCGUCGGUCUCGAAAACCGAUAGGGGUGCAAGCUCCUCGAGGGUUCAAAUCCCUCCCUCUCCG